RNAcentral lists this non-coding RNA (165 nucleotides) under chicken gut metagenome. The record is from RNAcentral.
CUGUUUCAGGUGCCCGGAAGCUCCGGGAGAAUAGGGAAGUCAGGUGAAAAUCCUGCGCGAUCACGUCGCUGUGAAAGAACGGCCGCGUCAAAAUAUGUCACUGCCAGGGCGGGAAGACAGAACGCGGUGUCAAAGUCUUGAGCCAGAAGACCUGCCUGAAGGUAA